RNAcentral lists this ribosomal RNA (500 nucleotides) under uncultured bacterium. RNAcentral's name for it is "bacterial SSU rRNA". It matches the Rfam family "Bacterial small subunit ribosomal RNA", at positions 9 to 541 of the family's 1533-position model. The record is from RNAcentral.
CAGUUUGAUCCUGGCUCAGGAUAAACGCUGGCGGCGUGCUUCAGGCAUGCAAGUCGAGCGAGCAACUUCGGUUGCGAGUGGCGGACGGGUGAGUAACACGUAAGCAACCUGCCCAGAAGUGGGGAAUAACUAGCCGAAAGGCUGGCUAAUACCGCAUACGAUGUCUCCUCUCUGGAGGGGUCAUCAAAGGCUUCGGCCGCUUUUGGAGGGGCUUGCGGCCGAUUAGCUAGUUGGUGGGGUAACGGCCUACCAAGGCGACGAUCGGUAGCUGGUCUGAGAGGACGGACAGCCACACGGGGACUGAGAUACGGCCCCGACUCCUACGGGAGGCAGCAGCUAGGAAUCUUGGGAAUGGGCGAAAGCCUGACCCAGCAACGCCGCGUGGGCGAUGAAGGCCUUCGGGUCGUAAAGCCCUUUUGCAGGGGAAGAUGAUGACGGUACCCUGCGAAUAAGCCACGGCUAACUACGUGCCAGCAGCCGCGGUAGUCGGGCCCAAUCGC